This 396-nucleotide ribosomal RNA is filed under the name uncultured bacterium. Its description in RNAcentral is "partial 16S ribosomal RNA". It matches the Rfam family "Bacterial small subunit ribosomal RNA", at positions 360 to 773 of the family's 1533-position model. The record is from RNAcentral.
AAUAUUGGUCAAUGGGUGAAACCCUGAACCAGCAAUGCCGCGUGAGUGACGAAGGUUUUCGUACCGUAAAUCUCUGUCCUUGGGGAAGAUAAUGACGGUACCCAAGAAGAAAGGCACGGCUAACUACGUUCCAUCAGCCGCGGUAAUACGUAAGUGGCAAGCGUUGUCCGGAAUUAUUGGGCGUAAAGGGCGAGUAGGCGGCCGGUUAUGUCAGAUGGAAAAGGCUAGGGCUCAACCCUAACAUGGCAUUUGAAACUGAUUGGCUUGAGAGUAGGAGAGGGAAGUGGAAUUCCUAAUGUAGCGGUGAAAUGCGUAGAUAUUAGGAGGAACACCAGUGGCGAAGGCGACUUCCUGGCCUACAACUGUCGCUGAUGCGCGAAAGCGUGGGGAGCAAAC